This 254-nucleotide long non-coding RNA is filed under the name Parus major (Great Tit). Its description in RNAcentral is "lncRNA (ENSPMJG00000019349.1)". Lineage: Eukaryota; Metazoa; Chordata; Aves; Passeriformes; Paridae. The record is from RNAcentral.
GAGACUUUGCAGACAGAAGCAACCUGGGUGCAAGGCCCUGCCCUGCCUAUGAAUGGGGAUUACUUCUGCUUCCUAAAAGUUUUCUAGGUGUCAGACAACCCUGGAACCAAGAAUCUCCAAUCACGUUUCUCUGAAACUCUGGUUUCCCUGAAACUUUUAGUUACACGGUGAAGUUACUGGAUACAUGUCCUGUUCAAGGUAUUUGCCUACACUCUUCAAGAGCCUUUGAUCCAUUGAGAACUGAAGGUUCAUAG